This 253-nucleotide ribosomal RNA is filed under the name uncultured bacterium. Its description in RNAcentral is "partial 16S ribosomal RNA". It matches the Rfam family "Bacterial small subunit ribosomal RNA", at positions 524 to 776 of the family's 1533-position model. The record is from RNAcentral.
UACGAAGGGGGCUAGCGUUGUUCGGAUUUACUGGGCGUAAAGCGCACGUAGGCGGAUCGUUAAGUCGGGGGUGAAAUCCUGGAGCUCAACUCCAGAACUGCCUUCGAUACUGGCGAUCUUGAGUCCGGAAGAGGUGAGUGGAACUCCUAGUGUAGAGGUGGAAUUCGUAGAUAUCGAGAGGAACACCGGUGGCGAAGGCGGCCUUCUGGACAGUGACUGACGCUGAGACGCGAAAGCGUGGGGAGCAAACAGG